This 253-nucleotide ribosomal RNA is filed under the name uncultured bacterium. RNAcentral describes it as "partial 16S ribosomal RNA". It matches the Rfam family "Bacterial small subunit ribosomal RNA", at positions 524 to 776 of the family's 1533-position model. The record is from RNAcentral.
UACGGGGGGUGCAAGCGUUGUUCGGAUUUAUUGGGCGUAAAGCGCGUGUAGGCGGUUUGUUAAGUCUGUUGUGAAAGCCCUGGGCUCAACCCGGGAAGUGCACUGGGUACUGGCAAACUUGAAUACGGGAGAGGAGAGUGGAAUUCCUGGUGUAGGAGUGAAAUCCGUAGAUAUCAGGAGGAACACCGGUGGCGAAGGCGACUUCCUGGCCUGUUCUUGACGCUGAGGCGCGAAAGCUAGGGGAGCAAACGGG